CAGUAGCCGCGGUAAUACGUUGGGUGCAAGCGUUAAUCGGAAUUACUGGGCGUAAAGCGUGCGCAGGCGGUUAUAUAAGACAGAUGUGAAAUCCCCGGGCUCAACCUGGGAACUGCAUUUGUGACUGUAUAGCUAGAGUACGGCAGAGGGGGAUGGAAUUCCGCGUGUAGCAGUGAAAUGCGUAGAUAUGCGGAGGAACACCGAUGGCGAAGGCAAUCCCCUGGGCCUGUACUGACGCUCAUGCACGAAAGCGUGGGGAGCAAACAGGAUUAGAUACCCCAGUAGUCCCUGUCUCUUAUAC
RNAcentral lists this ribosomal RNA (301 nucleotides) under uncultured bacterium. RNAcentral's name for it is "partial 16S ribosomal RNA". It matches the Rfam family "Bacterial small subunit ribosomal RNA", at positions 509 to 807 of the family's 1533-position model. The record is from RNAcentral.